This 65-nucleotide transfer RNA is filed under the name Pseudoneureclipsis sibuyana. Its description in RNAcentral is "tRNA-Tyr". The record is from RNAcentral. Lineage: Eukaryota; Metazoa; Arthropoda; Insecta; Trichoptera; Polycentropodidae.
AGUAAUGUGGCUGAUAUUAAGUGAUAAAUUGUAAAUUUAUUUAUGUCUGUAAAAGAUUUUUACUA